This 232-nucleotide ribosomal RNA is filed under the name uncultured bacterium. RNAcentral describes it as "partial 16S ribosomal RNA". It matches the Rfam family "Bacterial small subunit ribosomal RNA", at positions 103 to 334 of the family's 1533-position model. The record is from RNAcentral.
CGGGUAGCGGAACACGUACGCAAUCUACCCAAAACUGAUGAAUAGCCCUCCGAAAGGAGGAUUAAUACAUCGUAACCUAUUAGAGUAGCAUUACUUUAUUAGUAUAGCUCCGGCGGUUUUGGAUGAGCGUGCGCCUGAUUAGGUAGUUGGCGGGGUAACGGCCCACCAAGCCUGCGAUCAGUAACUGGUGUGAGAGCACGACCAGUCACACGGGCACUGAGACACGGGCCCG